Non-coding RNA from Caenorhabditis elegans, 21 nucleotides. NCBI's taxonomy places the organism in Eukaryota, Metazoa, Nematoda, Chromadorea, Rhabditida, Rhabditidae. The record is from Ensembl.
UUCAUACAUUGCAAUUACCAG